This is a long non-coding RNA of Leptopilina heterotoma, 246 nucleotides long. RefSeq lists it as uncharacterized. The transcript has 3 exons. NCBI's taxonomy places the organism in Eukaryota, Metazoa, Arthropoda, Insecta, Hymenoptera, Figitidae. The record is from RefSeq and is a predicted model, not a curated record.
GUUUGACAAUACAACUUCAAGUUUGUUAAUUUGCCAGAGAGCUGAGACAACAAAGACAAAUUCCUCUUUGGAAAUCUGCGAAUGAAAGAUCAACGGAAGUGUAUGCUGGGACAUUAGGACUCUUCCGCAAUACGCAAAUUCACAAUUCGAAGAACAAUCUAAAGGACAAGAAGGUGGACGAGAAGAAGAGUGGUCCCUGGACAACGUGGGAAAUCGCAUAGAGGAUUUAACGGAACAAAGAAUGGU